UUUCCUACGGGGGGCAGCAGUGGGGAAUAUUGCACAAUGGGGGAAACCCUGAUGCAGCGACGCCGCGUGAGUGAGGAAGUAUUUCGGUAUGUAAAGCUCUAUCAGCAGGGAAGAAAAUGACGGUACCUGACUAAGAAGCCCCGGCUAACUACGUGUCAGCAGCCGCGGUAAUACGUAGGGGGCAAGCGUUAUCCGGAUUUACUGGGUGUAAAGGGAGCGCAGACGGUGAGACAAGUCUGAAGUGAAAGCCCGGGGCUCAACCCCGGGACUGCUUUGGAAACUGCCUGACUGGAGUGCUGGAGAGG
RNAcentral lists this ribosomal RNA (305 nucleotides) under uncultured bacterium. RNAcentral's name for it is "bacterial SSU rRNA". It matches the Rfam family "Bacterial small subunit ribosomal RNA", at positions 335 to 657 of the family's 1533-position model. The record is from RNAcentral.